CUUGUUUUUUCACCUGCCUUCUAAGAAGAAGAGAGAUAAAAUGAAUCUUAAAACAGUUUUGGUUUUUCUCGCCAUGAUGGUAGCAGUGACCGUUUCUCACCGCCACCGCCAUCAUCACCACCAUCAUCACUCCUCCUCCGUCAAACACAUCCAUCACUACGAGUCGGGAUCAUCUGGAUCUUCAGGAUCUUCAUCCUCCGGAUCAUCAGGAUGUUGUUGCGGAGGAAGUUCCGGAUCUUCUGAAUCCUCAGAUGAAGAUUACCCCAUCCCAAUCCCAAUCCCAAUCUCCAGCGGUGGCGGCAGCAGCGGUAGCAGCGGUUCCUCCGACGCCGCCCUCCUACAGGCUCUCAUCAACGCUGGCAAAUAAAUGAAUCGAUAGCAAAUACCUGUUACGAUCCUGCGUCAGCUCUUUGUAGCCAUCAUUUGUUGUUAUUGUUAAUGUUUUCCUUAAUAAAUGGAUUAACACUAUAAAAAGA
Molecule: long non-coding RNA, 476 nt
Organism: Haliotis rufescens (red abalone)
Lineage: Eukaryota; Metazoa; Mollusca; Gastropoda; Lepetellida; Haliotidae
Exons: 3
Source: RefSeq, a predicted model, not a curated record